AAGGGUAACAAGGUUUCCGUAGGUGAACCUGCGGAAGGAUCAUUACCUAGAGUUGCGGGCUUUGCCUGCCAUCUCUUACCCAUGUCUUUUGAGUACCUUCGUUUCCUCGGCGGGUUCGCCCGCCGGUUGGACAACACUUAAACCCUUUGUAAUUGAAAUCAGCGUCUGAAAAAACUUUAAUAGUUACAACUUUCAACAACGGAUCUCUUGGUUCUGGCAUCGAUGAAGAACGCAGCGAAAUGCGAUAAGUAGUGUGAAUUGCAGAAUUCAGUGAAUCAUCGAAUCUUUGAACGCACAUUGCGCCCCUUGGUAUUCCAUGGGGCAUGCCUGUUCGAGCGUCAUUUGUACCUUCAAGCUCUGCUUGGUGUUGGGUGUUUGUCUCGCCUCUGCGCGCAGACUCGCCUCAAAACAAUUGGCAGCCGGCGUAUUGAUUUCGGAGCGCAGUACAUCUCGCGCUUUGCACUCAUAACGACGACGUCCAAAAAGUACAUUUUUUACACUCUUGACCUCGGAUCAGGUAGGGAUACCCGCGA
This 533-nucleotide ribosomal RNA is filed under the name Allophoma tropica. Its description in RNAcentral is "eukaryotic LSU rRNA". The stretch from base 188 to 341 matches the Rfam family "5.8S ribosomal RNA". Lineage: Eukaryota; Fungi; Ascomycota; Dothideomycetes; Pleosporales; Didymellaceae. The record is from RNAcentral.